GCCCUCGUAGCUCAGGGGACCAGAGCGCCGCCGUCCUAAGGCGGGCGUCGCAGGUUCGAGUCCUGCCGAGGGCA
Molecule: transfer RNA, 74 nt
Filed under: Chloroflexota bacterium
Lineage: Bacteria; Bacillati; Chloroflexota
Also listed under: 5 other names
Description: Chloroflexi bacterium tRNA-Arg
Rfam family: tRNA
About the family: Transfer RNA (tRNA) molecules are approximately 80 nucleotides in length.
Source: RNAcentral